UACGAAGGUGGCAAGCGUUACUCGGAAUUACUAGGCGUAAAGGGCAGGUAGGCGGUUCGAUAAGUCUGUUGUGUCAGCUCCCGGCUUAACUGGGAGAGGUCAACGGAAACUAUCGAGCUAGAGUGUGGGAGAGGGUACUGGAAUUCCUGGUGUAGCGGUGAAAUGCGCAGAGAUCAGGAGGAACACCUAUGGCGAAAGCAAGUACCUGGACCAAUACUGACGCUCAGCUGCGAAAGCUAGGGGAGCAAACAGG
RNAcentral lists this ribosomal RNA (253 nucleotides) under uncultured bacterium. RNAcentral's name for it is "partial 16S ribosomal RNA". It matches the Rfam family "Bacterial small subunit ribosomal RNA", at positions 524 to 776 of the family's 1533-position model. The record is from RNAcentral.